AGGACGAACGCUGGCGGCGUGCUUAACACAUGCAAGUCGAACGGAAAGGCCCUUUCGGGGUACUCGAGUGGCGAACGGGUGAGUAACACGUGGGUGAUCUGCCCUGCACUUCGGGAUAAGCUUGGGAAACUGGGUCUAAUACCGGAUAGGACUACGGACUUCAUGGUUUGUGGUGGAAAGCUUUUGCGGUGUGGAUGGGCCCGCGGCCUAUCAGCUUGUUGGUGGGGUGAUGGCCUACCAAGGCGACGACGGGUA
Molecule: ribosomal RNA, 255 nt
Filed under: uncultured bacterium
Lineage: Bacteria
Description: partial small subunit ribosomal RNA
Rfam family: Bacterial small subunit ribosomal RNA
Source: RNAcentral